RNAcentral lists this ribosomal RNA (370 nucleotides) under uncultured organism. RNAcentral describes it as "bacterial SSU rRNA". It matches the Rfam family "Bacterial small subunit ribosomal RNA", at positions 526 to 896 of the family's 1533-position model. The record is from RNAcentral.
CGUAGGGUGCAAGCGUUAAUCGGAAUUACUGGGCGUAAAGCGUGCGCAGGCGGUUAUGUAAGACAGGUGUGAAAUCCCCGGGCUUAACCUGGGAACUGCAUUUGUGACUGCAUAGCUAGAGUACGGUAGAGGGGGAUGGAAUUCCGCGUGUAGCAGUGAAAUGCGUAGAUAUGCGGAGGAACACCGAUGGCGAAGGCAAUCCCCUGGACCUGUACUGACGCUCAUGCACGAAAGCGUGGGGAGCAAACAGGAUUAGAUACCCUGGUAGUCCACGCCCUAAACGAUGUCAACUGGUUGUUGGGUCUUCACUGACUCAGUAACGGAGCUAACGCGUGAAGCUGACCGCCUGGGGAGUACGGCCGCAAGGUUG